AAAUUGAAGAGUUUGAUCAUGGCUCAGAUUGAACGCUGGCGGCAGGCCUAACACAUGCAAGUCGAGCGGUAGCACAGAGAGCUUGCUCUCGGGUGACGAGCGGCGGACGGGUGAGUAAUGUCUGGGAAACUGCCUGAUGGAGGGGGAUAACUACUGGAAACGGUAGCUAAUACCGCAUAAUGUCGCAAGACCAAAGUGGGGGACCUUCGGGCCUCAUGCCAUCAGAUGUGCCCAGAUGGGAUUAGCUAGUAGGUGGGGUAACGGCUCACCUAGGCGACGAUCCCUAGCUGGUCUGAGAGGAUGACCAGCCACACUGGAACUGAGACACGGUCCAGACUCCUACGGGAGGCAGCAGUGGGGAAUAUUGCACAAUGGGCGCAAGCCUGAUGCAGCCAUGCCGCGUGUGUGAAGAAGGCCUUCGGGUUGUAAAGCACUUUCAGCGGGGAGGAAGGCGGUGAGGUUAAUAACCUCAUCGAUUGACGUUACCCGCAGAAGAAGCACCGGCUAACUCCGUGCCAGCAGCCGCGGUAAUACGGAGGGUGCAAGCGUUAAUCGGAAUUACUGGGCGUAAAGCGCACGCAGGCGGUCUGUCAAGUCGGAUGUGAAAUCCCCGGGCUCAACCUGGGAACUGCAUUCGAAACUGGCAGGCUAGAGUCUUGUAGAGGGGGUAGAAUUCCAGGUGUAGCGGUGAAAUGCGUAGAGAUCUGGAGGAAUACCGGUGGCGAAGGCGGCCCCCUGGACAAAGACUGACGCUCAGGUGCGAAAGCGUGGGGAGCAAACAGGAUUAGAUACCCUGGUAGUCCACGCCGUAAACGAUGUCGAUUUGGAGGUUGUGCCCUUGAGGCGUGGCUUCCGGAGCUAACGCGUUAAAUCGACCGCCUGGGGAGUACGGCCGCAAGGUUAAAACUCAAAUGAAUUGACGGGGGCCCGCACAAGCGGUGGAGCAUGUGGUUUAAUUCGAUGCAACGCGAAGAACCUUACCUGGUCUUGACAUCCACAGAACUUUCCAGAGAUGGAUUGGUGCCUUCGGGAACUGUGAGACAGGUGCUGCAUGGCUGUCGUCAGCUCGUGUUGUGAAAUGUUGGGUUAAGUCCCGCAACGAGCGCAACCCUUAUCCUUUGUUGCCAGCGGUCCGGCCGGGAACUCAAAGGAGACUGCCAGUGAUAAACUGGAGGAAGGUGGGGAUGACGUCAAGUCAUCAUGGCCCUUACGACCAGGGCUACACACGUGCUACAAUGGCAUAUACAAAGAGAAGCGACCUCGCGAGAGCAAGCGGACCUCAUAAAGUAUGUCGUAGUCCGGAUUGGAGUCUGCAACUCGACUCCAUGAAGUCGGAAUCGCUAGUAAUCGUAGAUCAGAAUGCUACGGUGAAUACGUUCCCGGGCCUUGUACACACCGCCCGUCACACCAUGGGAGUGGGUUGCAAAAGAAGUAGGUAGCUUAACCUUCGGGAGGGCGCUUACCACUUUGUGAUUCAUGACUGGGGUGAAGUCGUAACAAGGUAACCGUAGGGGAACCUGCGGUUGGAUCACCUCCUUACCUUAAAGAA
Molecule: ribosomal RNA, 1549 nt
Filed under: Klebsiella pneumoniae
Lineage: Bacteria; Pseudomonadati; Pseudomonadota; Gammaproteobacteria; Enterobacterales; Enterobacteriaceae
Description: bacterial SSU rRNA
Rfam family: Bacterial small subunit ribosomal RNA
Source: RNAcentral